This 619-nucleotide long non-coding RNA is filed under the name Vigna radiata. Its description in RNAcentral is "long non-coding RNA (VRAD_LNC013609)". Lineage: Eukaryota; Viridiplantae; Streptophyta; Magnoliopsida; Fabales; Fabaceae. The record is from RNAcentral.
GGUUAAUAUGAGUAAAUAUUACAAAAAAUAAGGAACGUGACCAUGAAACUUGUAGUUGAACUAUCAAUAGAAAUAUUUAUAAUUAUCUUUUAAAAGUUAUUAUAUUAUUUUGGACGUCUAUACUCUAUUGUAGACUCCACUAGUGGAAAAAUAUGUUUUUAUAACGAUCCUAUUAUAACAUAUAAAAAUUAUCUGUUAUAAUAGAUUGAUAUUAUAACGCACUUUUAUAAAUCAGUUAUAAUAUGAAACACAUAAAUGUAGGACCUAUUAUAACGCAUUUUUCUAAAUCAGUUAUAAUAUAAAACCGUUAUAAUAUGAAACGCGAUUGUAAAAUUGUAAAUAAGUACAUAACCUAUUAUAACGGACUUUUAGAAAUCAGUUAUAAUAUCUCCUCCUUUCUAAUUUUUUACAUUUCCCUAAUUUCAUUUCAAGGUUUCCUUCAUUUCAUUUCUCUCCCGUUCUUCGUCUCUGAAGCUCUAAACACUCCGCUCUUUGCCUCUUCCUUCGUGUCUAAAGCAGCGUCAACACCACGCAUUUCUAAUUUCUCGGCACUCCCACACCACGCAUCUCUAAUUUCUCGGCACUCCUCCCUCCGAACACUCCGAGAACACUCCCUCCA